Molecule: non-coding RNA, 650 nt
Organism: Coturnix japonica (Japanese quail)
Lineage: Eukaryota; Metazoa; Chordata; Aves; Galliformes; Phasianidae
Source: RefSeq, a predicted model, not a curated record
CCCCUAUAACCCCAGCUGGAAUCCUCCAGCUAUAGAAUCCCUAUAGAAUCCCUAUAGAAUCCCUAUAGGAUUCACUUCAUUCCCCAUAGGUUUAUAAGCUCCAUGACGACCCUAUAAGGGUUUGGGAUCCCUUUCCUUAUGGGAUUUGGGUCUUUUAGGGUCUCCCAUCCCAUAACCCCCCCUAUACCCCCAGCUGGAAUCCUCCAGCUAUAGAAUCCCUAUAGAAUCCCUAUAGAAUCCCUAUAGGAUUCUCUUCAUUCCCCAUAGGUUUACAAGCCCCAUGACAGCCCUAUAAGGUUUUGGGAUCCCUUUCCUUAUGGGAUUUGGGUCUUUUAGGGUCUCCCAUCCCCUAACCCCCCCAUUUACCCCCAGCUGGAAUCCUCCAGCUAUAGAAUCCCUAUGUUUCCCUAUAGAAUCCCUAUAGUGAAUCCUAUAGGAUUCACUUCAUUCCCCAUAGGUUUAUAAGCUCCAUGACAGCCCUAUAAGGGUUUGGGAUCCCUUUCCUUAUGGGAUUUGGGUCUUUUAGGGUCUCCCAUCCCCUAACCCCCCUAUAACCCCAGCUGGAAUCCUCCCGCUAUAGAAUCCCUAUAGAAUCCCUAUAGGAUUCUCUUCAUUCCCCAUAGGUUUAUAAGCUCCAUGACAGCCCUAUA